Molecule: ribosomal RNA, 469 nt
Filed under: uncultured bacterium
Lineage: Bacteria
Description: partial 16S ribosomal RNA
Rfam family: Bacterial small subunit ribosomal RNA
Source: RNAcentral
GACGAACGCUGGCGGCGUGCUUAACACAUGCAAGUCGAACGAUGAAGCCUUAGCUUGCUUUGGUGGAUUAGUGGCGAACGGGUGAGUAACACGUGAGCAACGUGCCCAGGACUCUGGAAUAACCGCGGGAAACCGUGGCUAAUACCGGAUAGGUGCCGAGGCCGCAUGGUCUUCGGUUGGAAAGUUUUGGCGGUUCUGGAUCGGCUCACGGCCUAUCAGCUUGUUGGUGGGGUAAUGGCCUACCAAGGCGACGACGGGUAGCCGGCCUGAGAGGGUGACCGGCCACACUGGGACUGAGACACGGCCCAGACUCCUACGGGAGGCAGCAGUAGGGAAUAUUGCACAAUGGGCGCAAGCCUGAUGCAGCAACGCCGCGUGGGGGAUGACGGCCUUCGGGUUGUAAACCUCUUUUAGUAGGGAAGAAGCGCAAGUGACGGUACCUGCAGAAAAAGCACCGGCUAACUACGUG